CUGUUCUGGGAAUGUUAUUUUUUAGGGUACAGGGAGGUUCUGAGAAUGUUUCAUUUUGGAACCCUGAAAGUUUUCCUGGGAGGUUUUAUUAACAUUUUGAGAACAAAAAUGAUAGGCUAUUUGGAGGUAAUUAAAUAACAUUCUGAGAACAUGUUUCAAUAACACUGUUGGCCUAGUUUGGGUUAACUGUUUUGAACACAUGGAAAUGAAUUUGUUUAGGAAUUUUUAUUGUUAUAGCAAGGCAUCGUUGAGAUUCAAAACUAUGAUCUUCUGUUUUCUAUCUAUGGAAUUAGUCCACUGCGCCACCAGGAUGUACAAACAGGCCCAAUUUCAAAGGGAACAAGCGCUCAUUAAGAUUAGGUGUCGAUAGAAAGAGUUUUGUUGACGUUGAGGACGGAAUGUUUUUAAAUUUAAAAGAUGUAUUGUGGUUUUUAUGUAAAGUUUUCUUAAAGUUCUGAGAACAUGACUUUAAAUAGAACCAUGAGGAAUACCUGCAGAAAACAUUAUGUUGAAGUACUGAAAUUCCCACAGAAGAAUGUUGUUUCUUAACAUUCUCUGAAUGUUCUGAGAACUUGAGUUUAAUAGAACAGCGAGGAAACCUGUAGAAACCGAAAUGAAAUUCCCACCUAAGAAACAUACGGUUCUCAAAACGUAAUGUGACAUCUGGGUAUCCUGCAACGUUCCCAGAAUGUUGUGGGAAGGUUGUAUUCAAAAUAACCAUAGGACAACCACACUCUCACCAAGCUCUAAGAAACAUAUGAUUCUCAGAAUGUUAUGUGCUGGCUGUUUCUCAAGUAAUUAGCCAACAGUCACCUUCAGUUUACACAUUUACACAAAACUUCCUCUAAUUCCUUUUUUUUUCAAUCAUCAUCAUUGUUAAGUAACAGGAAAUAUACAUGCAAUACUUUUGACACCACUCUCGUUAUAACUGCUUGUCACUCAUUUUAUUGGAACCAGUUGGCUUUUAAAAUGUGUGCCGGUGCCAUGGUCACUGCUGGUGUUUUCCUUGGACCUGUAGCCUCCUGUUUUGGCACCUCUUUUCACAACACAAUGAGCCCAUUGAUAUGGAUUGAGAUGAUGCUCAUUUUGUCUCAGGCCUCUGGCACUAGUGGUAUGUGAUUCAUUUUUAUGUCAAUAUGCACUCAGUGUUUUUUUUAUGCUAUGUCUAAACAACAUGAACUGAAUAAUCCU
Molecule: long non-coding RNA, 1191 nt
Organism: Oncorhynchus tshawytscha (Chinook salmon)
Lineage: Eukaryota; Metazoa; Chordata; Actinopteri; Salmoniformes; Salmonidae
Source: Ensembl